RNAcentral lists this ribosomal RNA (567 nucleotides) under uncultured bacterium. RNAcentral describes it as "partial 16S ribosomal RNA". It matches the Rfam family "Bacterial small subunit ribosomal RNA", at positions 355 to 914 of the family's 1533-position model. The record is from RNAcentral.
UGGGGAAUUUUGGACAAUGGGCGAAAGCCUGAUCCAGCAAUGCCGCGUGUGUGAAGAAGGCCUUCGGGUUGUAAAGCACUUUUGUCCGGAAAGAAAUCCUCUGGGUUAAUACCUCGGGGGGAUGACGGUACCGGAAGAAUAAGCACCGGCUAACUACGUGCCAGCAGCCGCGGUAAUACGUAGGGUGCAAGCGUUAAUCGGAAUUACUGGGCGUAAAGCAUGCGCAGGCGGUUUUGUAAGACGGAUGUGAAAUCCCCGGGCUUAACCUGGGAACUGCAUUCGUGACUGCAAGGCUAGAGUAUGGCAGAGGGGGGUAGAAUUCCACGUGUAGCAGUGAAAUGCGUAGAGAUGUGGAGGAAUACCGAUGGCGAAGGCAGCCCCCUGGGCCAAUACUGACGCUCAUGCACGAAAGCGUGGGGAGCAAACAGGAUUCAGAUACCCUGGUAGUCCACGCCCUAAACGAUGUCAACUAGUUGUUGGGGAUUCAUUUCCUUAGUAACGUAGCUAACGCGUGAAGUUGACCGCCUGGGGAGUACGGUCGCAAGAUUAAAACUCAAAGGAAUUGAC